UCGGUGAGUGGAGUGAACUUUCUUGUCGUCAGUGCUAAAUCUUUAUUCAAUAUGGCGGUUCUCUGAAUAUGUUAACAAACCGGACAGGAAGCUCAGGCAGCUGAAGGUUUCAGCGUGAUACAGUGACACAGAGGAAACUGAGAAGACUGAAUCAAUCAAAGCUCAGCUUUGGGAAGGGAAGAGACACAGGACAAGAUAAGGAGACUGAGAGAAAAAGAAACACAAGAUGAUGGAUUUGAGAGGAGAAGAAGAGCAGCCCAGACAGAAGGAAGCACAACUUCCAGCAGCGCUCCCUCAGACAGAUAUGUGUGGGUAGAUAGGAAGCUGGCACGACGCUGCCAGUUCCGACAUGCCAGACUGAAGGAUGAAUGUCACCGUAGGCGCUAAUACCAGUUGAGAGAUGCCACCAUAGAUUCUACCCCAAGACAUCUGGAAUCCCAGGUGCCCGUCCUGCUGAUCCAGGUCUCAGCUGCAGGAAGCCAAGACUCCUUGUGGAUGCCAAGAGCCUCGCAACACCAGCCAAGCCACACUGAAGCUUAUCAGCUCCACCACAACCCUUUAUGGGCCUAUUCACCUCAAUCAAAGCUGUUAUUUAGGUAACGAGCCAAGAUGGCGGAUAUCACUGCACUCCAAUUACCCACUAUGUCUCCUCCAUCUUUCCUUGCCAGCAUCCCCACAAGCCCUGAUUCUCCUCAGCGUGCCCAGCUGCUCUGGCGCUGCUCCGCUUCCUCAAUAUCUGUACAGGGGGAGACCUUUCAGAACAGAAGGGCUCUGUCAGUGCUAGAUUCACUCACAAGGGCUAUUGAUGACUGCUGCGGCGUUUCGUACAGAAAGUCUUAUCAACAGUGGGAAGGUGUUUCUCAAAGUGCAAUGUUUACUCGGUCAGCUGCUGCGGCCUGGACAGAAACACCAGCUCUCACCUUAAAAACCAAACAGAGGUGUCACCACUUCAUCCAUGAUCACAGAGUCUCUUUGUACAGCGAAGUUCUUUGAGACCAGGACUGAGGCCUCCAGGAUUCAAACAACCAUUAAAGCACAGAGACACAGACUCGAAGACAUUUUCAGAAGCUGCUGUCGUCUUCUCCUCCUGCAGAGACAAGAAAACCAAAAUAUUUUUAUGACAUACUAUUCUGACAUUUUUUGACAGUUUUUAUGCCUUACAACUUCUUAUCCUAAUGUAGCCAUCUUACCUUCAUUUUCCACACACACACCUCUACACAGUGUUUGUGGGUUAGGUCAGAUUUUCAUUUUUGUAUUUUGCUAUUUCAAACAGUGCAAUAUCAGUACUCAAAAUCCAAUCUAUUAUUCUGUACGUAAACCUGUUCAUUCUGUGCAUCAUUUUUAUAUAUUGUUGUAUAUUAGCUUGUUUUAUGUCUUGGAGAUAUAAUGCCCUUUUUUACUGUUGCAAUACUGAACUUCCCUGUUGUGGGACAGAUAAAGGAUUAUCUUACUCAAAUAAAUACUUCUGAACACUGACUAUUUUGCUGGUCUGUUUAAUAUUGUAUGAAAGGGAAUAUUUUUUUAACCAGAGGUCAGUGUUAGGGUUAUCACUUUUAGCCAGAGAUUACAGUUUUUAGCCUAAAUUCUACAUUUUAAUUGCAAGCUGUAAGUAGAGAAUAUUUGGCAUUUCUGCAUUAGAAAAUCACUUUUGUGACAUUAAUUUGAAAAUGGAGAAACUCAUUUCAAAAGUUAAAGUUUUUGAUGCCUUACUAUGACAUUUUAUGAUGG
Long non-coding RNA from Lates calcarifer (barramundi perch), 1728 nucleotides. RefSeq lists it as uncharacterized. NCBI's taxonomy places the organism in Eukaryota, Metazoa, Chordata, Actinopteri, Centropomidae. The record is from RefSeq and is a predicted model, not a curated record. The transcript has 7 exons.